UCAUCUCGACUAAAAAACUAGUCGAGGACGGACUACUUCGACUACUCGUUUCGACUAGAAAACUAGUCGCGGACGGUCUACUUUGACUACUCAUCUCGACUAGAAAACUAGUCGAGGGCGGCUUCCACGUGAUCAAACAACUAGUCGGAAUCGACCCCGACUAGUUGGCUUCAUCAACAACAGUUGCGGCUUCACGACAAUCAUCCACGAAUCAAGCUAAGUCACUUUUUUUUAAUUAUUUUCCGGCUUGUUUUCCACAUGCAGGGCAACGCGCCAACUACCUAUCUGUGUAUGCCUCUCAACAGGAAUUACCCUCCAGACCUACACUUUGUCAACUAUUCCUAGGGCAUGUUGACCGACAGCCACGGGCUUGGUACAUCGAAUUAUGGAGGCCAUGGCCACAGGUUUGGUGCAUUGAGUUUUGGAAGCUCCGCUGCAGGUUUGGUACAUUGAAUUAUGGAGGCAAUGGCCACAUAUUUGAUGCACUGAAUACUAGAGGCUCACAACGGCUGCACUCUAAGGAGGCACAAAUCCUAUGCGUUCUACUCGCCGAAGGGCAGAAAACUCUUACGCGCAGUCACAAUAGUCUUUUUGUCGCAGUGUCGACUACUUAUUUUUAUUGUCUUCUCUUAGCGGUGACUAAUCUACUCAAGCAGAACACACCUCAAUUCAUGAUAGACUUGGAUCUUCUAUCGUGCCUAAACGCUAGGACGUGAGAUAGAGGUCUCCGUAGCAGCAGUGCCAGUAUGCGUACACGAGACAAAGAUCUCAUACAUGCAAUGGCAAUAGCUAAACAGGGACUGAGAGUCUAAAUGCAACAGGCUAACUACUCAGGAGAAAUAUGGCCGAAACAAGAGCAUGACACAACAUUUACAUUAUAUUCAUCACUGAAUAAAUUUCAGUAGUUCCAAAUUCUACAAAUAUGCUGCAUAAUGUAUGCAUUUCCUUUUUCAAGUCAAGUUUCAGCAACGACUCUCUAGGAAGCUCAUCGUACCUAUAAUGGCUCCACUAGCUCCCAGGCCCGGAGGCUAAGCGCCAAUUACUACUCGGAAUAUCACCAGUGGCUCAGCUAGCUUCCAAGCUCCGAGGCUAAAGCGCCAAUUACUACUCGGAAUACCUCCAGUAGCUCUGCUAGCUCUCAAACUCGGGGACUAAGCAUCAAUAACUACUCGACAUGGCUUCUACGGCUCACCUGGCGCAUAAGCUCGAGGGACGGAAGCUGCAAAACUACUUGGAUGAUGACUGGCAUGAAGACUAAAGCUCGCUAGACCCUCGGAUUGAUUAAAUUAGUCAUUCAAAGGCUCGGGGGCUGAUAAGCUACACCCAACAGUUGAUUUUUACAAGAUGAAAGAAGAAGAUUCAAGAUUUUAUUGACCCUCAGCCUUAUUCUUCGAUUCAACCUAAGGCCCGGGGGUUAUUCCAUAUGGAGUGCGACUUCCGCCACCCUCCAUAUCACAUUCCAAAGAUGAAGAUUAUAAAUUAAGAUGAUCAAGGGCUUGAGCACACCAUAGCCUCAUGGCAGCUUUGAGGAACUUUGAAGAUUCAGCCAGACAAAAACUACUCGGCGAGGAUCUAAAAAGUACUCAAAGAAUGCUGCAUUUGACUAUGAAGCGCUCGAGGGUUUGUUAGGGAUAGAUUCUCAGUACGCGCAAGGAAGGAAGUAGACGGACUCCUGCUAGGAUUCCUCUGUAAUCCUACUAGGACUUAUACCAUGUAAUCCUACUAGGACUUUUCCUUGUAACCGACUAGUAAUCCCACCCCUUGAGUAUAUAAAGGAGGGUAGGGGUACCUAGUGUCGGGCAUGCACCCCAGGCCCACGAGUAGGCCCUAGACGGCCCACCAAGGGAUGUACUCGGACACGAUCAAGACAAGGGGGCUACGCAGCAAUAGGCGUAUCCCACUCGGACUAGUUAAGUUUGCAUAAGGAAACUACUCGGACCACACCGAGUAGAACUUUGUAAUUGUACUCGACUAGGAUUUAGACUUGUAACCCUGCCCUCCCGAGUAUAUAAGGGCGGGUAGGGACCCCCUCAAACAACAACUCCCGUUCAUCUAAGAUCAAUACAACCAAACUCACAGGACGUAGGGUAUUACGCGAUCUAGCGGCCCGAACCUGUCUAAAUCAUGUUCCUUGCGUCACCAUCGACUCCUUGAUUCUCGAUGGCCCUUACCGCAUAAAAGACCACCUAGGGUACUCCCUAGGCAGGUUGACGGUCUAAAACACCGACAGCUGGCGCGCCAGGUAGGGGAACUCGUCGAGUUUCUCAGCGUGAGCUCAAUGGCACCUGUCGUCAUCAAGCCUGUCUUCAUCAUCGAAGCAGGUGCGACUUUCUUUUUUGGAUCUUGGCUCUGCAUCGCCGACGGCGCCGGAUCGUUUUGACGCGAAAUCAUCAACAUCCAGGAGAAGAAAUCGGAAGAUUCGGUCAGGAAAAACCAAAAUUUCAAAGUCAACAACCCCAAGUUCGACUACGCGUUGGACUCGACCCCAGUUCGGACUAGUCGGUCCCAGUCACUUCUCAAAUCAACUUUGAAUCAGAAACGGUUCCCAUACGGACUCCGCAAUGCAGCCGAAGUCUACCAAAGUUCCCUCACCCAAACUCAACUCGAACAUGGGAAAGACGAAGACGAUGACUCCGACUCGGACUACAUCCCAGAGAUCUCACUGACAAGACCAGCCCAAGGACUGGUAAUAACUUCAACAUCGCAAGGCAGAUUCGUCCACUGGCCAGGAAUGAGACCAUCCCUCCUCGCCCGCGACUACAAGUCACGCCUUAUCGCUCAUAUAGACAACCUCCCAUACCAGGAAGGCCUCCCACUCACUUCAAGCCGCGAGGAAAGUUCCACAGAAAUUGCAACAUCAAGCUCUGGAAGCUACUACCCAGACAUAGAAGUCUUUGUUAUUACUCAAUAUAACAACCCGAGUACUAGCCAACAGAGAACCCCCCAGCGACUAGCACAACUCGACAAUGUCUCAGAAGAUGAGUCAACAGCUAACGCCCCACAAGAUGAAACUUUCGACCAAAGGAACCAAAGAAGGAUGCACAAUACUACUCGGGCUGAACGACGACAAAUGCUGGCUACAAACAUUCCCAUCACAAACCUUGAAAGAGCAUUUGACGCAGUACAGGCUCAAGAAUACAACACUCCACUCGCAGCAAUUGCCUUGAUCAACCUUAUAUCAACGCUCAUACCUCAAGACAGAGACAACGAAGUCACAUCUCAACUCGCACAGCGAGGAAAAGGACUAAUUGGACAACUCAUAGAACAAGCUUACAAGCUACUCGAUAAAGAAUCUCCAAUCCCGUCUGUUCCCCGCAAUACGGCUCAUCAAGAGGGCAGUAGAGGUGCUGCAGUUAACAACAACUUCAAUGAAGUACAAAGGAAUGACAAUGAAGUACUAAACCAACCAAGGCAACACAGCCAAGGUCGAAGUAAACACAACGCUCCAGCACGACAAAAAGACAUUGGAGAAGUCAGCUGCACCAACUCCGCAAAAAGUCCUCGCCAUACUCAAAAAAAUCAUGAAGUAUCAAAUUUCAGCGAUCUACAAGAAAUAAUCAACAGUCGGCGUGAGGGAGAAGUUGACAAUUACAACCACUAAGUCCUGCUUUCACAAAUCGGGUAAUAAGGACAAGAUUACCCGAAAAGUUCAAACCAACAGGAAUCAUUAAGUAUGAUGGCAAGCAAGACCGAAUUCAAUGGCUAUGAUGCUACUCGUUGGCAGUCCAGGCAGCUGGGGGCAACAACGACACCAAAGUUAUCCAUUUUCCCAUAUGCAUGGAACCCGCACCUUUGACGUGGCUUGAGUCACUCAAGCCUAGAUCAAUUGACUCUUGGGCAGACUUGACAAAGGCUUUCACCAACAACUAUGCCGGCUCCAUGGCUAGACUGGGAACAAGAUUGACCUAAGUCAAGUAAAACAGAAAGAAGGUGAAACAUUACGCGACUACUUGCGACGAUUCUUCGAAAAGAAGGCUACUAUAGUUGACAUUUCAGAAACAGACGUCAUCGAGUGCUUCCAGAAUGGACUCUAUGAUCGAUGAACAUACCAAGACUUUGGCAGACAACGACCAACCAAUGUCAAAGACCUCAAAAUCAUGGUACAACAGUGGGCGGAUGAAGAAGACAAAGAGCGAGAACGGUUCGGCUCUCAUCGUAACCGAGGAUGCGACAACAACAACAAUGACCAGGAAAGAAACCGACACAGCGAUACUCGAAACAACUUCUCGGGUAAUCAAAAUCGUAAAAGGAAACAUGACAACACCAUUGCUUCCAUGACUAACUCUAGGAAAAAGGGAUCCCGCAAAAAUGAUGAAGGGCCAACCUUCACCGAACUACUAAAAAAACAGUGCCCAUGGCACCCGACUAGCAAACACUCAGCAAUAGACUGCUACAGCAUGCGCAGAGUAAUGUAAGACUUACCCGCACCACCACCUCCCGAAGAGUACAACAAGAAAAAAGAUAAGGGCAAGAACAAAGUCCACAACGACGAAGAAGAAGAAGGCGACUUCCAGACUGCCUCCAAGACAGUCAACGUCAUUUUUGGCGGAAUCCCAAGCACCGCAUCCAAGCGGGCCAAGAAACUCGUACUCAGGGAAAUCAUGGCCAUCGAGCCAACAGAUCCAACAUGCUAAAAUGGUCAGAAGUACCCAUAACUUUGAGCAGAAAGGACCAAUGGACAAAAUUCUCAGAGCCAGGCUGAUUCCCUCUAGUACUUGACCCCGUCGUGGUAGGAUCAAAGCUGACAAAGGUACUCAUUGAUGGCGGAAGUGGACUCAACGUCAUUUUUACCAAAACACUAAGAAAGAUGUGCCUCGAUGUCACGGAAAUGCUCACUCCAACAGAUUCACCCUUCUACGAAAUCGUACUAGGAAACGCAGCUAUUCCACUAGGACAAGUCAUCCUACCAGUUACUUUUGGAACUAAGGAACACUACCAAACCGAGUACAUCAGAUUUGAAGUCGCCGACUUCGAGACAUCUUACCACGCCAUACUCGAAAGGCCAGCACUAGCUAAAUUCAUGGCCAUACCACACUACAUUUACUUGGUACUCAAAAUGCCAGGGCCCAAGGGAGAACUAACGCUGCGAGGCCGUGGAGAUUGCCGCAACCUCUCAAGCACCCAGCCCUAUGCAACAAGUUUUCACAGCUUCAAAGAAACUUCACCCAACUGAAGUCAAGAUCCCAGAAAACAAGUCGGGAUCCACAAAGGUGAAACCAGCAAGCGAGAGGGACUUCAAGCUAGUAGAUCUCCAUACGGGUGACUCUUCUAGGACAACUCUGAUCGGAACAGGGCUAGAUCCUAAAUAGGAAACCGCGCACAUCAAUUUUCUUCGGGCUAACCAUGAUAUCUUUGCUUGGAAACCAUCUGAAAUGCCUGGUGUGCCCAAGGAACUGAUUGAGCACUCUCUAAAUGUUGAUCCCAAAGCUACACCAAAAUGACAGUGACUUCGCAAGUUCGCCCAAGAUAGACGAGAAGCAAUAAAAAAAGAACUAGCCAAACUACUCGCAGUAGGGUUCAUCAAAGAAGUCUUUCACCCUGACUGGCUAGCCAAUCCUGUACUCGUUCGUAAGAAAAACAAUGAAUGAAGAAUGUGCGUCGAUUACACGGAUCUCAACAAACACUAUCCAAAAGACCCUUUUGGAUUACCCAGGAUCGACCAAGUAGUCGACUCUAUUGCUGGGUGCGAUUUGCUAUGCUUUCUUGACUGCUACUCGGGCUACCAUCAGAUAAGCCUUAAAGAAGAAGAUCAAGCUAAAACAACCUUCAUCACUCCAUUUGGGGCCUUCUGCUACAAAACAAUGUCAUUUGGACUAAAAAAUGCAGGGGCAACUUAUCAACGAGCUAUACAGAUGUGCUUCGAAAAGCAAUUACAUCAUAAUGUUGAAGCUUACGUGGACGACGUAGUCAUCAAAAUAAGAAACUAGGAGGACCUAAUCACCAACUUGGAGGAAACCUUCUCAAGCUUGCGAGCUUUCCGAUGGAAACUCAAUCCUACCAAAUGCAUCUUUGGAGUACAUUCUAGCAAACUACUCGGGUUCAUCAUUAGCCAUCGCGGCAUUGAGGCCAACCCAGAGAAAGUAUCUGCCAUCACAAACAUGCACGCACCAGCUAGCAUCAAGGAUGUGCAGAAACUCACAGGCUGCAUGGCAACCCUCAAUCGAUUUAUCUCGAGACUUGGAGAACGAGGACUACCCUUCUUCAAGCUUCUCAAAUGACAGGACAAGUUCAAAUGGACAGAAGAGGCAGACGAGGCAUUAACACAACUCAAAGACUUCCUGUCAAAACCUCCAAUCCUCACUGCUCCAUCCCCAAACGAGGACUUGCUCCUAUACAUAGCAGCUACUACUCACAUCAUCAGCACGGCAAUAGUAGUCGAAUGGUCUAAGCCAGGCCAUGUUUACAAAGUCCAAAGACCUAUAUACUUCAUUAGUGAAGUACUCUCGGACUCCAAAACUCGGUACUCGCCGAUACAAAAACUCCUAUAUGCAAUUCUGCUCACUUCACGAAAGCUGCGACAUUAUUUUCAAGAGCACCACUGUAUCCUAUAUGCAAUUCUACUCACUUCACGAAAGCUGCGACAUUAUUUUCAAGAGCACCACAUCACAGUCAUCACUGAUUUCCCGCUCGGUGAAAUUCUCCACAAUAGAGACGCCAUGGGUAGAAUCUCCAAAUGGGCAGUUCAACUCAGAGCUUUAACCUUGAACUUUAAACCAAGGACAGCUAUCAAAUCUCAAGCUUUGGUCGACUUCAUGGCUGAAUGGAUUGAAAACCAAGUGCCAACACCAGUCGAGAGGCCAGAGCACUGGGUAAUGUAUUUCAACGGUUCCCUCAAACUCGAAGGAGCCAGUGCAAGCAUACUUCUCAUCUUCCCAAAGGGAGACCAACUCAAGUACGUACUACAAAUCUUCUGGGAAGUCUCAAACAAUGAAGCCGAGUACGAAGCACUGCUACACGACCUUCAUCUUGCAAUCUUCCUCGGAAUCAAUAGACUAAUAGUAUACGACGACUCACUAGUGGUUAUAAACCAAGUCAAUGAUGAAUGGGAUUGAAACAAGGACAACAUGGACGCCUACUGCAAAAGAAGUUCGCAAACUGGAAAAUAAGUUUUUAGGCUUGGAAUUCCAUCAUAUCGUCCGCGACAACAACGUAGCCGCCGACGUAUUAUCAACAAUGGGCUCAACUCAUGCAGAAGUUCCAGCAGGAAUUUUCAUACACGAACUCCAUAAACAAUCCAUACCAGAACAAGUCACACCACUGGUGAUCAAGACUACAGAAGUUACUCGAGAAAUCAUGAUGAUAGAAGUCGACUGAAGGACACCCUUCAUCGACUACAUCAAAGAUCAUAAGUUACCAUCCGACAAUAAUCAAGCCGAGCAAAUUUCCCGACGAGGAAAAAACUACAUUUUAGUCGGAGACAAGCUCUACAUGAAAAGUGCAUCAUCAGGGGUACUCAUGAAGUGUGUUACCCGUGAAGAUGGCCAAGAAAUCCUAAAAGAAAAUUCACAAAGGAAUUUGUGGCAACCAUGCAUCCUCACGAAUGAUAGUAGGCAAGGCUUUACAAGCAGGUUUCUACUGGCCCAUGGCCUUGGCAGAUGCGAAACAAUUAGUUUGAAAAUGCCAAGGCUGCCAAUUCUUCACUAAACAACAACAUGUACCUGCCUACAAGCUAGUCACAAUACCUCCAACAUGGCCUUUCACUUGCUUGGGGCUGGACAUGAUAGGACCAUUGCCAACCGCGCCAGGAGGAUUCUACCAAGUACUCGUGGCCAUUGACAAAUUCACCAGAUGGAUCAAGGUCAAACCAGUCACUUGCCCCAAGGCAGACCGAGUCCUCGACUUCUUGGAUGAAAUUGUACACCGUUACGGCUUUCCAAACAGAAUCAUCACAGACCUGGGGUCCAACUUCAACAAUCAUGACUUCUGGGAGUACUGCGAGAAUAGUGGAAUUGACGUCUGCUACAUCUCGGUUGCUCACCCACUAGCCAAUGGACAAGUCGAGCGCGCCAAUGGCAUGAUACUCAAAGCUCUCAAGAAAAGACUACACGACGUCGGCAAUACAAAAGGAGGCAAAUGGCUCAAGAAAUUACCUAAUGCUCUAUGGGGACUAUGAACCCAACCAUGCAAGACUACUGGGCUCUCCCCCUAUUUCCUAGUAUACGGAUCAGAAGCUAUACUACCUGCGGACGUCAUGUGGCAAUCCCCUUCAGUCGAACAAUAUGAUGAAGAAAUGGCAGAAGAAACGAGACGCACGGAUCUGGACAGCCUAGAAGAAACAAGAUGCGCAGCAUUAGUCCAAUCAGCCAGAUACCUUGACGGGUUAAGACGAUACCACGACCGCAAUGUCAAGGAACGAUCUUUCAACUUAGGCGACAUGGUACUCAAAUGAAUUCAAGACACGACUGUCGGUGUUUUAGAUCAGCAACCCGCCUAGGGGAUACCCUAGGUGGUCUUUUGUGCGGUAAGGACCGUCGAGAAUCAAGGAAUCAAUGGUGACGCAAGGAACACGAUUUAGACAAGUUCGUGCCGCUAGAUCGCGUAAUACCCUACGUCCUGUAUGUUGGUUUGUAUUGAUCUUGGAUGAAUUGGAGUUGUUCAUGUUUGAGGGGGGGGGGUCCCUACCUGCCCUUAUAUGCUCGGGAAGGUAGGGUUACAAGUCUGAGUCCUAGUCGAGUACUAUUAUAGAGUUCUACUCGGUAUGGCCCAAGUAGUUUUCCAUACACAUACUUGACUAGUCUGAGUGGGAUACACCUAUCCUUUGUCUUGAUUGAAUCCGAGUACGCCCCUUAGUGGGUCGUCCAAGGUCUACUCGUGGGCCUGGGAUGCAUGCCCGACAAGCCCCAGAGUACUUUGUAGUCGUGCGCCACAGUCUUGGGUACUGCGGGCACUAUCCGAGUAGUUCGUCAUACAGGUUGUGGACUGAAGUGCUGGAGUACUGUCGCGUGGCUGGAAGGUACUCUUCUUGUUCGUUCGAGUUGUUUCUGUUCUAAGAAUUUUUAUAUGGUAGUGCGAUGUCAAUCGCACUCCAUAUGGAGUAGCCCCCGAGCCUUAGGUUGAGUCGAAGAGUCAGGCUUAGGGUCAAUCCUUCCCAUUUGCCUGUUCUUCCCUUGGAGAUCUCGAAAAAAGAAAAAACUGACCAUCGGGUACGGUACACGCAGCCCCCGAGCACUUAGGCGAUCUCCAAGUGGUCAGCAAUCUGUUGAAAAGAGUAGCCGUUGGGAGUUUUAAGGCAAUUAAUCCGCUUAAAAUCCGUCCGUUGCGUAACUGACGCUUGGAAUCCGGAGGUGGCGGAGAUAAAACUGGAGGACCCCCUUUCGGUUAGGUCUACACCCUGCUGUAAUUAGAUCUGUUUUUCUUCCUUCCCUGCGCCUCUGCUCCGUGUUUGCGCCGUCGCAAUUGCCAAGUGCCACCGCCACCAUUGCUCCCCCUUGAGAGAGAUUCUAGAGUGAGUGCCUUUUGUUGAGGUUGAAAUCGGAUGCGCACCAAGAAGAUGGGAAAGAAGCCCAAGAAGAUCCAGGGCAAGGCUCCAGCGGCGGGCAAGGUGAAAUCCAAGAAGGGGAAGGAGCUGGUGCUGCCGGUGCCGAAGGUGGGGCUGACGAAUCAAACUGCGUCGCACCCGCCUGGAGUGAUGUGGCAGCAUUCGGUGAUGAAGGAGGAGGCCGUGCAAGUGCUAGUCGAUGCCAAGCUUCUGCAGAUGAAGGAAAUACUCGAGGGGUGCCUAGCUUUUCGAAAUACGUGGCAAUUUGAGGAACAUCCAGGCGAGACCGUGAUGCUCACACAUGUGGAGAAGGGGUUGGUAGUGCCCACCUCCGACUUCUUCAGAGGUAUCCUCGAGUACUAUAAGCUUCAACUUGUCCAUUUGAACCCCAAUGGUGUACUACAUAUGUCCAUUUUCGUACACCUCUACGAAGUUUAUUUGGUAGUUCCUCCAAGCCUCGAGUUGUUUAGGAAGUUGUUCCGUUGUAAGCCUCAGCCAAGUGCCCAAAGGACAGAAGUCUUUGGAUGCGCCGGGUUCCAACUCAGGAACUCAGGCGCAUAUAUUGAGUAUAACUUGACUGACUCCCAUGGGGAGUGGAAGAAAAGGUGGUUCUACAUCGGGAACCAUGACCCUCGGUUGCCUGUGGUGACUGGCCACGUGCCGAAGCAUGCAGAAAACUUGGUGAGCGAACCCGAAGACACCUCGGAGCUAAACCACUUGAUGCAGCAGAUUACCGAGUUGAAGGCACUCAGUCUUACUGGGAUUAACGUGGCGGCCAGUUUUCUGAAGAGAAGAGUCCAGCCGCUUCAGAAACAUGCUCACUCGAGGAGUGAGUACACGGGUCUUAAUGAUCUAUCGCGUAUGUCCGAUGAGGAUAUAUCUGAUGAUGAUGUAGAGGCGCUGCAGGCCAAGUUCUUUAGGAACUACUAGGGAGUACCAGUGAUCCCUGCAGCUCUUCGGCAGUAUGAUGCCUGGUAUGAGCCAGAAGUGGUAUGUUCUGGCCCUUGACUUGUACUUUUUGACUUGUGUGAUAUUUGUUGUUAAUAUCGACUUGUUUGUGUAGUCUCGAGUUCUUGCCGGCUACUUGGUGCAGUCAGAAGAAGAAACUGUUGUUGAUGAGUCGGAGGACGAGCCCUCCCCUCCUGUGAAGAAACGCAGAGUAAUCCGCAAAAUGUCUGCGGCAAAGUUUGCUUCAACUCCUGAGAAGUCUCAGGUUACGAAGGUAUGUAGUCGUGUACUCAAUUGUUGUUGAUGAAUUUGAACUUGCAAUCAUUGUGACUACUUUGUCUUGUUCAAAAAGGUUGUUGAUACAACACUUGGUGAUGGUGAGGCUGCUUCUAAAGAAGUAGUCGUGACCGACCCGGAUGUCGGUAAUUUAUCUGUUGAUAUGGUGCCGGAGAGGAUGUCAUCAACGGAAGCUGGAGUAGCCCCCGAGCUAACCGCACAGGCUUCGUCGACUACCACGCUGCCAGUUACUGACCAGGCAGUCCUGGGGUUGCCCGCCGGAGUAGCGGGUGUUGCAAAGGUGUCGCUAGUAGUCGCUAUUGGUUCUUUGUUGUCCAGUGUAAUCGCUAGUGGUAAGCAUUCUGUCUCGAUUAGUUUCAUUUGUUUGAGUUGUAUUGUAGUCUUGACUUCUGUUUCCCAGGUUUUGGCGAGAAGACAGCGCCGGCUGUUGUUCCUGCGGCGCCGAGUACUCGGCCACCUAUUGCCGAGAAGAAACGUGUGUGAUUUGCGCCACGCUCAACUCGGUGAGUUUGCUUGUCUGUUCUAUAUCUUUAAACUAUCUUGAAGUCAUGUAAUGACAUGUUUUGAUGCAAAGAUGCAGAGGAAACUAUCACUGUAGAGACAGGGGUAGAGUCGGAUCCCCCGACUACAUUAUCUGCUCCCUUGGAGGAUUUGAUUGUUGAUGAAGUAGCUGAAGUCGACACCGGUCGCCUUGGAGCUACUAUGUCUAUGCUUCAAGACGUCAUCCGUUCGGUGGAAGUUCCUGCCGCCGCGUCGGGUUCGGGAAGUGCUACCUUAUCAAUUGGCGGAUCUCUUGCUGUAGUGGGCGUGAAAAAAUCUAAAGAGGCAACUGCUCUAGAUAUGUCUUUGCAUUCCUGUUAUUGUAGUGGAAGCAGUCAGAUGACUGAUAAUAAAUGUUUUAGGUGCCUCUUUGGGUGCGACUCCUCAUCUUGCGGAGAGUACUCGAAGACCAGUACUUAGCUUGCCAACUGACUCAGAGUUCCAGAGGGCCAUCAAUGUUUUCUGGAGCUUCCAGGUGAAUUUCCUUUGCUUUGUUACAUAGCGAGUAGCUGUGAUGGUUUUAACUGAUCGUAUUGCUUUGCAUACUCGGACCCUUCAGGAACGAAGUCAUCAAUUGGAGCAGGAAUGUGCUCGACUUACAGAAGCCUUGAGGGUGCACGAGGUUGGAGCGAAGUCUUUUGCUGUGGAGUGGUCGUAUCACGAAGUCCUGCAGCAAAAACUGGAGAGUCGCUACAAGUCUGUGAACCAAAAGUAUCAAGGUGAAUACUUUGCAUAUUCUGAGUAUGUCCAAUUCUAGUCGGCUGUGGUUGAACUCGUCUAUUUUGCAGAGCUCAAGAGGCAAGAGGCUGCUGCGAGGAGCCAAGUCCUCGACUGGAGAAAUGCGCACGAUCGAGUGGCGGAUGAAAGCUGAACGUCUUCGAGCCGUGCUGGCAGAAGCACAGGCUGCUUGCGAGCACCAGCGAGAUAGGAAGAUGCAAAAUGGAGUGAUGCUUGCCAUGGCCAUGGUGGCAUGCAGGGAUCAUGCCCAGACCAUGGGAAGACUCCGAGGCAAACUUCAGGAGUUGACUGUAGCAGCUGAAGAUUUGGUGAACGCCAUAGCCCCUGUGGAAGAGUGCGCAGGACCUCAAUCGUUAGUCAAGUGAUUGAAGACUUCCCCGAGUAAAGUGGCGGGACUCUGCAAAGUUGUUUGCAAAUAGGUCCUUGCUGUUGUGAAGUCAUACUACCUGAGGGCGGACUUGGUGGCGGCUGGUGAUGGCGUGGCUCGCAACUGCACAGAAAAAGCAUAUGCGCAAUACCUCGAGAAGGCGGAGCCUAUCGCGUUGAAGAUGUUGGAGUUUGUCUCUCCAGAAGAUCCUUGAGCGUUUUAUGUACCCUUGAAUCUGUCGAGUACUUUGAACAAUAUUUUGACAAAUGAAGGCUUGCCCAUUGUUUUGCUGCUUGAAGUGGUUGUCUUGCCAAGAGUAGUUUUACUCCAUCUCGCCCGACCUAAAGUUGCGGGAUCGGCUAAGCCUACUCUCGAAAGGGGGGAACUCCACCUCGCCCGACCUUGGGACCAGUGGUCGGGUGCGGCCGACCCCUUGAGGGAAAAAACUCCGCCUCGCCUGACCCUAGAUUCCAGGGUUGGUGCGGCCGACCCCUUGAGGGAAAAAAAACUCCACCUCGCCCGACCCUGAGUCCCAGGGCCGGGUGCGUCCGACCCCUGAACAGAGGGUUGGAUCCUUCCAAGCCCCCGAGACAAUGCAGGCCGUGCUUGGCUAGAGUAGUUCUGAGUUUCGAGUUGUCACGAUGCUGUCGGGUACUCUGCUUUUGAGGGUGCACCGGUGUACCGUACUCAUUGUCUUUUGUGGAUGCACGGGUGUACUGUACUCUUUUAUCCUUUGUAGCAUAAGUGCCUUCACGUGGGCAGAGUCAGAAGUCGUCAGACUCAUUGAUCACGGGCGCAUAGUAACUCUUGGGUAGGUGGUAGUUGUAGCUCUCGGCUAUAAAUAGAUCCUUCUGGAGGUCGACCCAAAUCAAGUUUCUGAGUAGCAAUGGAUUGCCUUCGGUUGCUGUUGUUUGAGUGUAGAGAGCCAUCAAAGAGUGCACUGGUGCUAGAAGAUUCCUCGUAGAUUGAGGCCACCUUCCCUCCACAGACUCCUGCGCUCGUAGGGAUAGCCGUGAUGCUAGAAGAAUUCUCGUAGGAGGUUUCAUCGCGAUCCUCAUCUUGCAGCUCGUGAUCCAAUGGAGUACAUGCUGGAACUCACGAGUGAUAGGUGAUGAGUGCCGCGGUCUUUAUCCCACUCUCUUAGAGGUGGAGGUGUGGCCGUAGAGUGGGUUGGCUCCGCAAGGCUAGCAAAAGAGCAGCCUUGGUUCCCUCUAGGUGCGGCGCGCGGGAUUCAUCAUUGCCGCUAUCAAGGCACUGGCGAUGCAGGAGUUCCUGGCAUUGCCUUGGGUAGAGGACCUGGAUAUGGCUACGUUUUGCGUAGCUUCCUUGCGUGUAGGCCCUUCCCAUUGUAGUCGAUAGACCUGAGUGGCCUUGUGAUAUAGUAAAACCUUAGGCUUAAAUGCAGCCUGCAAGGAGGCAGUUGCUUGUAGUCCUUGUGUAUUUCGAGUACUCCUACUCGUAUGUAACUUGAUGAUGUACCUUCGGUUCUGAGUAAAGAAUUAUUUUAUGGAAACUUUGUACUAGGGCAGUGAUUCUUGUUGAGUUGAUAAUUCUUGAAUCAAGACUAAUGUAUCUUGAAGUCGGUAGUCGAGCUGUUAGCUCGAGUAGUCAUCAUGAGUUGUUGCCUUGAAGCGAUUACUCGGGUGCUACUAUGGGUAAUAAUGACAAAGGUGUUCUAUAUUCCAAGAGUUUGGUACUUGUUCUCCUGAAAGCUCUUGGAGUCUGUAAGAUCCAGGUCCUAUAACCUUUGAUACGAUGUAAGGACCCUCCCAUGGUGAAUUGAGUUUAUGCAACCCUGUUGUAUCUUGGAUACGCUUGAGGACCAUAUCGCCCAAGGUGAAAGGUCUUUCCUUGAUGUUACGGUCGUGGUAAUGCCUUAAACCGUCAAGGUAUAUGGCAGAUUGCACUAGUGCUGCGCAUCUUGUUUCUUCUAGGCUGUCUAUAUCUGUUCUCCUUUUUUCUUCUGCCAAUUCUUCGUCAUAUUGUUCAACUGAAGGUGAUUGCCACAUGAUGUUGGCGGGUAGUAUGGCUUCCUAGCCAUAUACGAGGAAAUAGGGCGAGAGCCCAGUAGUCUUGCAUGGUUGGGUACGUAGGCCCCACAGAGCAUUGGGUAACUCUUUGAGCCAUUUGCCGCCUUUGGUGUUGCCAACAACGUGUAGUCUUUUCUUCAGGGCGUCGAGUAUCAUGCCAUUAGCAUGCUCGACUUGUCCAUUGGCUCGCAGGUGAGCGACCGAGACAUAGCAGACGUCGAUGCCGCUAUUCUCGCAGUAUUUCAAAAGUCGUGAUUGUUGAAGUUUGACCCUAGGUCUGUGAUAAUUCUGUUGGGAAAGCCAUAGCGGUGUAUGAUUUCAUCUAAGAAGUCGAGGACCCGGUCUGCCUUGGGGCAAGUGACUGGUUUGACCUCGAUCCACUUGGUGAAUUUGUCGAUUGCCACGAGUACUCGGUUGAAUCGUCCUGGUGCAAUUGGUAAUGGCCCUAUCAUGUCAAGCCCCCAGCAGGCAAACGGCCAUGUUGGAGGUAUCGUGACUAUCUUGUAGGCUGGUACAUGCUGUUGUUUGGUAAAGAAUUGACAACCUUUGCACUUCUGAACUAGUUGUUUAGCAUCGGCUAGAGCCAUUGGCCAGUAGAAGCCUGCUCUGAAAGCCUUGCCAACUAUUAUCCACGAAGAGGCGUGGUUGCCACAGAUUCCUUUGUGAAUUUCCUCUAAGAUUUCUUGACUAUCUUCCCGGGUAACGCACUUCAUGAGUACCCCGGAUGAUGCACCUUUCCUGUAGAGCUUGUCUCCGACUAGAACGUAAUUUUUUACUCGCCGGGAGAUUUGUUCAGCCUUAUUUUUGUCGGAUGGUAACUGGUUAUCUUUGAUGUACUCGAUGAAGGGUGUCCUCCAGUCGACUUCUAUCAUCAUGAUUUCACGAGAGACGUCAGCAUUCUGGAUCGCUGGCGAUGUCACUUGUUCCGGUAUGGACAGCUUGCGCAGUUCGUGUAUGAAAAUUCCUGCUGGAACCUCUGCACGAGUUGAGCCCAUUUUGGAUAAGACGUCGGCGGCAACGUUGUUGUCGCGGACGAUGUGAUGAAAUUCCAAGCCUGCGAACUUGUUUUCCAGUUUACAGACUUCUUUGCAGUAAGCGUCCAUGUUGUCCUUAUUUCAGUCCCACUCGUCAUUGACCUGGUUUAUAACGACUAGUGAGUCGCUGUACACCAGUAGUCUUUUGAUGCCGAGGGAGAUUGCAAGGUGAAGGCCAUGUAACAGUGCUUCGUACUUGGCUUCGUUGUUAGAUGCUUCGCAGAAGAUUUGCAGUACAUAUUUGAGCUGGUCUCCCUUGGGGGAGAUGAGUAAUACACCUGCACCGCCCCCUUCAAGCUUGAGGGACCCGCGAAGUACAUUACCCAGUGUUCUGGCCGUUCGACUGAUGUUGGUACUUGAUUUUCAGUCCAUUGAGCUACGAAGUCGACCAAAGCUUGGGAUUUGAUAGUUGUCCUUGGCUUGAAGUCCAAGGUGAGAGCUCCGAGUUCAACUGCCAUUUGGAGAUUCAACCCGUGGCGUCUUUGUUGUGAAGAAUUUUGCUGAGCGGGAAGUCAGAGAUGAGUGUAAUGUUGUGCUCCUAGAAAUAAUGGUGCAAUUUCCGGGAGGUGAGCAGGAUUGCGUAUAAGAGCUUUUGUAUCGGUGAUACCGAGUUUUGGAGUCCGAGAGUACUUCGCUCAUGAAGUAGACAGGUCGUUGGACCUUGUAAGCGUGGCUCAGUUUAGACCGUUCGACUACUAUUGUCGUGCUGACGACAUGAGUAAUAGCUGAUAUGUAUAGGAGCAAGUCUUCGUUUGGAGACGGAGUGAUGAGUACAUGAGGCUUUGACAGAAAGUCUUUGAGUUGUGUUAGUGCCUUGUCUGCCUCUUUUGUCCAUUUGAACUUGUCCUGGCGUUUGAGAACCUUAAAGAAGGGUAGUCCUCAUUCUCCGAGUCUCGAGAUGAACCGGUUGAGGGUGCCAUGCAGCCUGUGAGUUUCUGCACAUCCUUGAUGCUAGCUGGUGCUUGCAUGUUUGUGAUGGCAGAUUUUUUUUCCGGGUUGGCCUCGAUGCCGUGAUGGCUAAUGAUGAACCCGAGUAUCUUGCUAGAAGGUACUCCGAAGAUGCACUUAGUAGGAUUGAGUUUCCAUCGGAAAGCUCGUAGACUAGAGAAAGUUUCCUCCAGAUCAUCGAUGAGUUCCUCCUGGUUUCUUGUUUUGAUGACUAUGUCAUCGACAUAAGCUUCAACAUUGCGGUGAAGUUGCUUUUCGAAGCACAUCUGUAUGGCUCGUUGAUAAGUUGCCCCUACAUUUUUUAGUUUGAAGGACAUUGUUUUGUAGCAGAAUCCUCCGAAAGGUGUGAUGAAAGCUGUUUUGGCUUGAUCUUCUUCCUUGAGGCUGAUCUAAUGAUAGCCGGAGUAGCAGUCGAGAAAAUAUAGUAAAGCGCAUCCAGCGGUGGAGUCGACCACCUGAUCGAUCCUGGGGAGUCUGAAAGGGUCUUUUGGAUAGUGCUUGUUGAGGUCGGUGUAGUCGACGCACAUCCUCCACUCGUUGUUUUUCUUACACAUCAGUACGGGAUUUGCUAGCCAGUCAGGGUGAAAGACUUCUAUGAUGAACCCUGCCGCGAGUAGCUUGGCCAACUCUUUCUUGAUUGCUUCUCGUCUGUCUUGAGCGAAUCUGCGAAGUCGCUGCCAUUUUGGGGUAGCUUUGGGAUCAACAUUUAGAGAGUGCUCGAUCAGCUCGUUGGGCACACCUGGCAUGUCAGCCGGUUUCCAGGCGAAGAUAUCGUGGUUAGCCUGAAGGAAACUGACGAGCGCGGAUUCCUAUUUAGGGUCUAGCCCUGUUCCGAUUAGGGCUAUCUUGGAAGGGUCGCCCGUCUGGAGGUCGACUGGUUUGAAGUCUUACUCGCUGGCGGGUUUCACCUUUGUAGACCCCGACUUGUUUUCUGGGAUCUCUAGUUCAGUUGGAUGGAGCUUCUUUGAAGCUGUGAAGACUUGUUGCAUGGGACUAGGUGCUUGAGAAGUCGCAGCAAUUUCCACAGCUUCAGUGUCGCAUUCGUAGGAUCGCCGUAGAUCUCCUCGUAGCGUUAGUUCUCCCUUGGGGCCUGGUAUUUUGAGUAUUAAGUAAACAUAAUGUGGUAUGGUCAUGAACUUGGCAAGCGCUGGCCUUCCGAGUAUGGCGUGGUAAGAUGUCUCGAAGUCGGCGACUUCAAAUCUGAUGUACUCGGUACGGUAGUGUUCUUUAGUUCCAAAGGUAACUGGAAGGAUGACUUGUCCUAGUGGUAUAGCUGCAUUUCCGGGAAUGAUAACGUAGAAAGGUGAAUUUGUUGGAGUAAGCAUUUUAGUGAUGUCGAGGCCCAUCUUCCUCAAUAUCUUGGUGAAAAUAACAUUGAGUCCACUUCCGCCGUCGAUGAGUAAUUUGGUUAACUUUGAGACUGCCACAACCGGAUCGAGUAUUAGGGGGAAACGGCCUGGUUCUGAGAACUUGGUCCAUUGGUCCUUUCUGCUGAAGGAAAUGGGCACCUCUGACCAUUUUAGCAGUGUUGGAUCCGUUGGUUCAAUGGCCAUGAUCUCCCUGAGUACGAGUUUGUUGGCUCGCUUGGAUGCGGUGCUUGGAAUACUGCCAAAGAUGACGUUGACAGUUUUUGGGGCGGUCUGGAAGUCGCCCUCUUCGUCUUCGUCGCUGUGGGCUUUGUUCUUGCCCUUAUCUUUUUUUUGGUGUACUCUUCAGGGGGUGGUGGUGCGGGUAAGUCUUGCAUUACUCGGCGCAUGCUGUAGCAGUCUAUUGUCGAGUGCUUGCUAGUCGGGUGCCAUGGACACUGUUUUUUGAGUAGUUCGGUGAAGGUUGCCCCUUCAUCGUUUUUGCGAGAUCCCUUUUUCCCGGAGUUGGUCAUGGCAGCAACAGUGUUGUCGGGCUUCCUUUUGCAGUUGUGAAUACUCGAAUAGUUGUUUCGAGUAUCAUUGUGUCGAGUUCUAUCUUGGUUAUUGUUGUUGCCACGUCCGCGGUUGCGGUGGGAGCCGAACCGUUCUUACUCUUUGUCUUCUUCAUCUGCCCACUGCUGCACCAUGACUUUGAGGUCUUUGACAUUAGCUGGCCGUCGGCGACCAAAGUCUUGGUAUAUCCGUCGAUCGUAGAGUCCAUUCUGGAAGCACUCGAUGACGUCUAUUUCUGAGAUGUCAACUAUGGUUGCCUUCUUUUUGAAGAAUCAACGCAGGUAGUCACGUAAGGUCUCGCCUUCUUUUUGCUUAAUUUGACUUAAGUCAAUGUUGUUGCCUGGUCUAGCCAUGGAGCCGGCGAAGUUGUUGGUGAAAGCCUUUGUCAAGUCUGCCCAAGAGUCAAUGGACUUGGGUUUGAGUGACUCAAGCCAGGUCAGUGGUGCGGGUUCGAUGCACAUGGGGAAGUGGAUGACUUUGGUGUCGUUAUUGCCCCCGGCUGCUUGGACUACUAGCGAGUAGCAUCGUAGCCAUUGAAUUGGGUCUUGUUUGCCAUCAUACUUGGUGAUUCCAGUCGGCUUAAACUUAUCGGGUAGUUUUGUCUUCAUUACCCGAUUUGUGAAAGUAGGAAAAUUGUUGUAGUUGUCGACUUCUCGCUCGCGUCGACUAUUGAGGAUUUCUCGUAGAUCACUGAAGUUUGACACUUCGUGGUUUUUCCGAGUAGGGCGAAUACUUUUAACCGAGUUGGUGCAGCUAGCCUCUCCAACAUCCUUAUGGCGUGCUGGGGCCUUGUGUUUGCUUGGGCCUUGGCUGUGCUGCCGGGGCUGGUUGACGACUUCGUUGUCGUUCCUUGGAACGUUGUUGUUGGCUAUAGCUCCUCUGCUGCCUUCUUGGCAAGCCGUGAUGCGAGGAACAGACGGAAUUGGUGAUUCUUUGUCAAGUAGCUUGUAGGCUUGCUCCGUGAGUUGUGCGAUUAGUCCGUUGCCGCGCUGCACGAGUUGAGUUGUGGCCUCGUUAUCCUUGUCUUGAGGCAUCAACGUCGUUAAGAGAUUGAUUGAGGUGAUUGCCGCGAGUGGAGUAUUGUGCUCUUGAGCCUGAACUGUGUCGAAAGCCCUUUCAAGGUUUGUGAUGGGAAUAUUUGCAGCCAUCGACUGCUAUCACUCGGCUCGAGUAGCGUUGCGCAUCCUCCUUUGGUUCCGUUGCUCGGAGGUUUCAUUGUGAGGAGCGUUAGCUGUAGACUCAUCUUCAGAGAUGUUGUCGAGUUGUGCUAAUCGCCUGGGGUUCUGUUCUGGCUAGUACCCGGGUUAUUAUUUUGAGUAAUAACAAGUACUUCCCUGUCCGAGUAGUAGCUUCCGGAGCUUGAUGUUGCAAUCUCUGUGGAGCUUUCCUCGUGAUUGGAAUUGAGUGGAACACCCUCUUGAUAUGGGAGAUUAUCUAUAUGGGCGACAAGACGCGAGUCGUAGUCGCGGUCAAGAAGAGGUGGUCUCAAACCUGGCCAAUGUACGAAUCUGCCUUGUGACGUUGAAGUUAUUACCAAUCCUUGGGCUGGACCAGAUAAUGGUAUCUCUGGUGGAUAAACCGAGUCGGAAUCGUCGUCUUCGGCGUGCCUGAGUUCGAGCUGAAUUCGAGUAAGAAAAUCCUGGUAGACUUCGGCUGUAUUGCGGAGUCCGUGUGGAAACCGUUUUGGAGUCGAAGCCGAGUUGGGAAGUGACUAAGACCAAAUGGUCCGAAGUGAAGUCGAGUCCGACGCGUAGUCGAACUCGAAGUCGUCGACUUCGAAAUCUUUGUUUUUCCCGACCAGAUCUUUUGCUUUCUUCUCCUGAGCGUUGAUGAUCUGGCGUCGGAACGAACCCGAGCCAUCGGCGAUGCAGAGCCAGGAUCCGAAAAUGAAGGUGGCGCUCGCUUCGAUGAAGAAAACGGGCUUGAUGAUGACCAUUGCCAUUGAGUUCAAGCUGAGAAACUCAACGAGCUCCCCUACCUGGCGCGUUAGCUGUCGGUGUUUUAGACCGGCAGCCCGCCUAGGGGAUACCCUAGGUGGUCUUUUGUGCGGUAAGGACCGUCGAGAAUCAAGGAAUCAAUGGUGACGCAAGGAACACGAUUUAGAUAGGUUCGGGCCGCUAGAUCGCGUAAUACCCUACGUCCUGUAUGUUGGUUUGUAUUGAUCUUGGAUGAACUGAAGUUGUUCUUUUUUGAGGGGGGGUCCCUACCCGCCCUUAUAUGCUCGGGAGGGUAGGGUUACAAGUCUGAGUCCUAGUCAAGUACUAUUACAGAGUUCUACUCGGUAUGGCCCGAGUAGUUUUCCAUACACAUACUUGACUAGUCCGAGUGGGAUACACCUAUCCCUUGUCCUGAUUGUAUCCGAGUACGCCCCUUAGUGGGCCGUCCAAGGUCUACUCGUGGGCCUGGGGUGCAUGCCCGACAACGACAGGGUUGCAUAAACUCAAUUCACCAUGGGAAUGUCCCUACAUCAUAUCCAAGGUCACAGGACCUGGAUCUUACCGACUACAAGAACUUUCAGGAGAACAAGUACCAAACUCUUGGAAUAUAGAACAUCUCUGUUGCUACUACCCGUAGUAGGCAAAGGAACUUGAGUUUUUGCUUCAAGCAGAAACUCAUUUCAACUACUCGAGCCGACAGCUCGACUACCGACUACAAGAUGUACUACUCUUAACACAAGACUAGCAACUCAACAGGCAUUCCAGCCUUGGUACAAAGCCUCAAGGGCAAAGCAAUUUUUUACUCGAGCCUGACUCAAGUAGAAAAUCUUAAAGUUACAUAUGAGUAAGAGUACUCAAUAACAUCAUAGCAAAAGACUACAAGCAAUUGCCUACUGGCGGUCUACAUUUAAGCCUCAGGCUUUUACAAUAUCACAAGGCCACUCAGGUCUACCGACUACAAAGGGAAGGGCCCGCACGCAAGGAAGCUACGCAAAAUGCAGCCAUAUCCAGGUCCUCCUCCCAAGGCAGCAACAGGAACUCCUGCAUCGCCGCUACCUCGAGAGCGGCAACGAUGAAUCCCGCGUGCUGCGUAAAGGAAACAAGGCUGCUCUUUUGCUAGCCUUGUCGAGCCAUCCCACACUGUGGCCACACCUCCACCUCUAAGAGAGCGGGAUAAAGACCGCGACACUCAUCACCCAUCACCCGCGAGUUCCAGCACGUACCCAGCUGGAUCACGAGCUGCAAGAUGAGGCGCGCGAUGAAACCUCCUACAAGAAUUCUUCUAGCAUCGCAGCUAUCCCUACGAGUGCUAGAGUCUGUGGAGGGAAGGUGGCUCUAACCUACAAGGAAUCUUCUAGCACCGGUGUACUCUUUGAAGGCUCUCUACACUCAAACAGCAGCAACCCAAGGCAAUUCAUCGCUACUUAAAGCCUGAUCCGGAUCGACCUCCAUGGCGGUCUAUUUAUAACCAAGCGCUACAACCACCAACCACCCAGGAGUUACUAUUCGCUCGUGAACAAUGAGUCUGGAUGACCUCUGACUCUACCCACGUGAAAUCAUUCACGCCACAAAAGACAAAAGAGUACAGUACACCCGUGCACCCCCCCAUCAAAGAGUAAAUAGCAGAGUACUCGACAACCGCGCGACUACUCAAACUCAGCACUCGGAAUUGCUCCAUACAACAAGGGACGGACAAGUACCCACUUUCAAACAAAAACAUUGUUUCAAAUACCCGAAAGCUUACAAGAGUACAAAGCAUAAGGCUCCUCCAACGAUACAAAUUCUAACAUCUUCACCGCAAUUGGCUCAGCCUCCUCGAGGUAUUGUGCAUAGGCUUCUUCCAUGCAGUUGCGAGCAACGCCGUCACCAGCUGCCGUCAAAUCUGCUCGCGGGUAAUACGACUUGACCACUGCAAGGACUUGUUUACAUACAGCCUUGCAGAGGCCAGCAACUUUGCCCGGAGCAGCUUUCAAGCGCUCGACCAAUGAACAAGGUCCUACGUCCUCCUCAAGGGGAGCAAUGGCAUUCAUCAAGUCCUGAGAAGCAUCAGUUAAUUCUUGAAGCUCGCCUCGAAGUCUUCCUAUGGUCUGGCCAUGAUCCCUAUAGGCUACCAUGGCCAUGGCAAGCAUCACUCCAUUGUGGUUCUUCCUAUCCCUCUGAUGCUCGCAGGCAGCCUGCGCUUCAGCCAGCGAAGCCCGAAGUCGAUUAGCCUCAUUAGCUACUUGGUCAUGCGCGUUCCUCCAAUCAAGGAGCUGGCUACUCGCAACAACCUCCUUUCUCUUGAGCUCUGCAACAAAACGACCAAUUUCAAAAAACCGACUACAGUUGGACAUACUCAGAUAAUGGAAAGUACUCACCUUGAUACUUUUAAUUCAAAGACUUAUAGGGGCUCUCCAGUUUUUCUUGCAAAACUUCGUGAUCCGACCGCUCAACGGCGAAAGACUUCGCAGCAUCUUCAUGAACUCUCAAGGAUUCUGUAAGCCGGGCACACUCCUGCUCCAAUUGUUCAUUUCGUUCUGAAAGGGCCCGAGCAUUCCUUCGAGUCCUAUCAUAUAGAUCCUGCAAAUGAAAGCAAAUGGUCAAGUUUUCAGCAAAAAACAGUCAGACAAAAGAAACACCAUACCUGAAAGCUCUGCAUAGUUCUCUGAAACUCCGACUCCGACGGAAGCCCGAGCACUGAACCUUGAUCACUCUUUACAACAUGAGGCUCUGGAGCUGUACCCAAGGCUGUACCUGAAAUGACCUACAUUAGUCAACGCAAUACAACGACUACAACACCAAUAUCUCAACUACAUACCUGGCUCAGUCGCCUCUUUGGCCUUAGCCACAUCAACCAAAGCAAGAACACCGCCAGUAGACAUCGAGGAGGGUACACCACCAGAACCUGAAGCAACCGCAGGAUCCUCCACCGAGCGGAUCACUUCUUGAAGCAUGGACAUGGUGGCUCCAAGACGACUAGUAUCAACUUCGGAUACAUCAUCAAUAGACACAUCAUCCAAGGGAGCAAAAAGAGUAGUCGAGCGACAAGACUCUACUCCUGCCUCCACAGGGAUAGUGUCCUCCGCAUCCCUACAUCAACAUACAAAGUCAUCACACGACUUUUCAGAAAGCUCGAAGAUACAAACCAAGAAUAAAAAAAUCACCGAGUUGAUCGUGGCGGCAAUCGCACACGUUUCUUCUCAGCAACAGGCGGCCGAGUACUCGGCACCGCAGGAGCAGCUGAAGGUGCAGUUUUCUCGCUAAGUCCUGCAAAAACAGGGUCAAGACUACAAUAAACUUAGACUAACAAAAAUAGUUGGGGAUAAAGCUCACUACUAGCGAUCACAUUGGAUAAUAAAAAGCCAGCAGCAAUUACUGGCGAUCCUCCCUUCGCAACAUCCGCCACUCCAGCAGGCAAACCCAGAACUGCCUGGUUAGGGACUGGCAACGCGGUAGCCGACGGAGCCUGGACUGUUAACUCGGGGGCUACUCCAGCAUCCGCUGGCGGCACCACCCCUAGCACUUCUUCAACAGACGCAACAUCUACAUCCUUGGCGGUUGUGACUACCUCAUUAGAAGUAGCCUCAUCGCCACCAAGGGUCACGUCGACAACCUUUUCAGACAAAUAAAGAGAUCAAGAGGCUACAGGAUAAAUUCUACAAGUUACCAAUGAAUACAUGACUACAUACCUUGGUACUCUGUGACUUCUCAGGAGUCAAACUCGAAGUCGAGGUAGACUUAGCAGCAAACCUCUUGCGAACCACUCGGCAUUUCUUCGCAGGAGGAGAAGGCUCAUCUUCCGACUAUUCAACAACUGACUUCUUUGUCGGAAUGCACCAGAUAGCUGGAGAGAACCCGGGACUACAAAACACAAACAAUGUUCCAAUAUCUCGAAAAGUACAAGUCAAAUAAAAAACAUACCUUUGAUGACCCAUACCAAGCAUCAAAUUGGCGAAGAGUUGAAGGAAUAACGGGUACUCCUUGAUAGUUCCUGAAGAACUUGGUCAGCAGCACCUCCACAUCAUCGUCAGAUAUAUCCUCAGGAGACAUACGCGACGGAUCAUCAAAUUUCGAGUACUCCCCACCCGAUUGAGCCCGCUACUGCAGAGGUUGAACUCUCCUCUUAAGAAAGCUGGCUGCCACAUUAAUUCCAGUCAAGCCUAGUGCCUUCAACUCGGCAAUCUGGGUCAGCAAGUUGUCGAGCUCUGGGGUAUCUUCAGGCUCGCUCACCCAGCUCUCCGCAUGUUUGGGGGCGUGACCAGUGACUACCGGCAAGCGAGGGCUAUGGUUCCCAAUGUAAAACCACUUCCUUUUCCACUCACCAUGAGAAUCCGUCAAGUUAUAAUCAAGAUAAGCGCCCAAGUUCCUAAGUUGGAACCCAGCGCCUCCAAAAACCUCUGUCCUAAUAGCACUAGAUUGAGGCUUGCAACGGAACAAUUUUCUAAAUAGCUCAAGGCUAGGAGGAACGCCCAGGUAAACCUCACACAGGUGUACAAAAAUGGACAUAUGAAGCACACCAUUGGGGUUCAAGUGAACCAGCUAAAGUUUACAGUACUCGAGGAUACCUCUGAAGAAGUCAGAUAUGGGCACAGCUAGUCCCCUCUCCACAAAGUGUGCGAGCAUGACUCUCUCGUUCGGAUGCUUCUCGAACUGCCACGCAUUAGCAAAGGCAGGCCUCCACUCGAGUACCUCCUUCGGCUGUAGAAGCUUGGCAUCAACAAGCACCUAAACGGCCGCCUCCUUCAUCACAGAAUUCUGCCACGUAAUUCCAGGCGGUGGCGGCACAGUCUGGUUUGUUGGACCAACCUUCGGCGUCGGCAACACCAGCUCCUUUCCCUUCUUCGAUUUCACCUUAACCGCCGCCGGAGCCUUGCCCUAAGUUUUCUUGAGUUUCUUCCCUAUCUUUUUGGUGCGCAUCAGACGAUAUCAGCCGCAGUAGGGACUUUGUUUGUGUCCAGGCUCGCAUCUCUAGCACGUACUAGCCUAGGACCAACACAAUAACGUCGUUGAGCAUUUGUUCAAUUUGCUUGAAACUAACGUGGUUCUAGUACUUCCUUGCUUUAGCCCACCUAGAGCUCCACAUAUUCGACUACAGCUUGACAGGCUUUUGUUGCUGCAGCAUCGAUACACUUCACUCCACAGUUGCAGACUUGUUGGUUGCCGUCACCUCCUGUUUGGCUUGGUAAGAACUUGUAAGGGCUUGUUUUUACAAGUUGAGUUUGAGAGAAUUACAACCAACACAUCAUAGUAGUUGACAGGAGGAUACAUAUUAUUUUUAUGUUUCUUGUUUCCUACUAACCAUGGCAGGUGAUACGGAGAUUUUGGAGCUGAUGAAACUAGACUCUCAUAUUCAGGGUGUUAUUCAACACUUGCCGUUAUAUGAUGGUAAGUUUGAUCCUAAAGCUUACAUUGAUUGGGAGAUAAAAGUAGAUAAUGAAUUUGAUGAGCAUGACCUGUCCGAGAAACAAAAGAUUUAUAUUGCCUCUAAUAUUUUGACUGAAUUUGCCUUGCUACAAUGGAAACACAUUUGUAGGUGUAAGAAACUUCUAGAAUCUUGGGAAGACUUUAAAUUUCUUUUUAGAGAUGCAUUCAUUCCUGAAUAUUAUGCUGAUUAUUUGCUUGCUAAAUUAGACAACUUGAGGCAAGGUAGUAGGACUGUGAAAGAAUACUUCCAUGAUUUUAAAAUUUGUAUCAUGUAUGGUGGAUUAGAUGAAUGCAUGGAAGAUGUGAUGAGUAGGUUCAUGAGAGGGCUCAAUUCUGAAAUUCGAACUUUGUUAAUUAGCAAAUCAUGCAUGCAUCUUGCUCAAUUCUAUUGUCUUGCUCUCAAUGCUGAAAAGGAGAUUCUAUUAUCUGUGAAUACUUGCAAUAAUGAUGUGACCCAUAAUGUCCAAAAUUUGUCCACCUUGCAUGCUAAUGACGAGCAACAACUAGUGGAACCCACUGUUGAUUUUCCUUUGUCACAAAAUGAAUUACUUGCUGUUCCUUGUGAUAAAGAAGACAUGUGUGAUGAUGAUUCUUUUGCUCCUAUGCCACAAGUAAUAAAUAAGUGUGAUACUUUUCAUUUGGAAACAUAUAAAUGUGCUGAAGCAAAGCUUUUUCAUCCUAUUAGUUGUGCACAAAAUGAACUGAAUUUGCUAUCCUCUUUAAAUACUUUGGGUUAUAUUGAAUUCGAUGUUCUGUGUAAUCUAAGUUGUCUAAAAGAGAGACUUAAAUUUGAUUCUAGUUUGCCAAGCUUUAAUCAUUUUUCGCUUCAUCCAAUUGGCAAAUACGACAGCAAAGGAGAAUAUUUGGUGCAUAAAGUUUAUUUUUGCUCUAAUAUGAAAUAUCCUUUUGGGCACCAAUACCAAGAUCAAAUAGAGGGCUGCACUAACACUAAUAAUGUCUUGCAAAGCUUUUCUAGUUUUUCUCAUAUGCAACAGGGUAAGGCCAAAGAAGGGGAGCAUUACUGGUUGUGGCCAUGCAGCAUGGCCGUCGCUCUGUGCUCCAACAUCAAAACAAGCACCUUAGAAUGCCAUUGGAGCAAGUUGAGGACGACUUGCAGCCAAGAAGGGGAGAAUGAUGAGGACAUCAUAUGCUUGGAUACAACCAUAUUGGCAUCUUUUGACUCCAAGGUGAAACAAUUCUUUAUCAUAAUUAUAUGUGACACAUUUGAUGAAUUGAUGCUGCACCAUGAUGUGUAUUCGUUGUCAAUUUCAGAAAUACGUACAUGGAUCAAAAAUAGUGUUAAACACACAUGGAAGGCAUGGAGGACCAAAGAAGUAGAUUAGGAGCCAAGUCCAAGUAUUCCUAACGUCCUCCACCAGGCCACCACGUCACUUUUGGCCCAAGGAAAGAAAGAGUUCCAAUCCAAUACGUUUUGGGGCUGGAUUCGGACUGCAGCUUUGUGUCAACUUGCAACGGCCGCCACAACCUCAUCCGGACUCCGUUUUAGGUGUUCAAGUACUCCUUGAAAUCCUUAUGAAGUCUAUUUUCAUAUGGAUCUAGAAUCAUAUCCAUAUAUUCUCUGAGUCGGCCGCAAUGAUCGAAAUACUACUGAGGUUUUCUAUCCAGAGGUGCCGCAUCGCCUUAUUUUGGCCCAAUGGGCCGUGUAUCAAGUUGGGUCCAUUAGGAACAUGUCCUAGGGUUGGAGCACGACCCCAACACCCCCUGGUCGUCCUCCUAGGUAUUAGUAAGGAUUAGAGCCGCCACGAACAGAUUGGGUUUUGUUUUGAUGUAAGUUUAGCCAUUGCUACUUCCUUGUAGACGCGUGUGUCGACUAGACCAUCCGUUCUACUCGAUUCAGAACCCCAACUUUGUGAGUUCAGAUUGGUUUCCAUCUCUAUAUUUACAAUUGAGUUGCUUGUUAUACUUGUUCUUGCUUGUUCUUCGAUUGCUUGCAGGACGAGUGCCCUAGUGGCCGGGUGACGCGCUCCACAAGAUCGCGGCAGCCAUUGGAGGUGGUGUAUUGGUUGCUAAGGCACAGCUUGGAAGGCUGUAGUCGGGCCAUGAACGUCGUCUCCAUCCACCAAUCGAGUUAUCCCACGCCUCUCAUCGAAAGAUCGGGAAUCAACCCUAGCGGGUGCAUAUCACAACGGCUACUCAAAUCAACGGGCUUUGACCACUUCAUUGACAAAAAUCGCCUAAGUGCUCGGGGGCUGUGGGUACCGUACCCGAUGGACAAAGUUUUCUUUUUCAGACUACCAGACGAAAACAACCAAAGAACAGAUUUGACCCUAAGCCUGUGUUUUCAACUCAAACUAAGGCUUGGGG
This 27964-nucleotide long non-coding RNA is filed under the name Setaria italica (foxtail millet). RNAcentral's name for it is "long non-coding RNA (SITA_LNC006721)". The record is from RNAcentral. Lineage: Eukaryota; Viridiplantae; Streptophyta; Magnoliopsida; Poales; Poaceae.